UUUUAGUUCUCUGGUAACCACCAGGUUUCCUUCCUCCUCAGAUGCAGAACCCCGACACACUGUCAGCCAUGUCGAACCCUAGAGCCAUGCAGGCGCUGCUGCAAAUCCAGCAGGGCUUGCAGACGUUGGCCACAGAAGCUCCCGGCCUCAUCCCAGGGUUUACUCCUGGCUUGGCAGCGGGCAAUUCUGGAGGCCCUGCAGGAACCACUGCACCUAGCACUGCACCUGGUGAGGAUACGAACCCCCAAGGGGGCGCUGCUGAGCCAGGCCACCAGCAGUUUAUCCAGCAAAUGCUGCAGGCCCUCGCCGGGGUGAACCCUCAGCUGCAGAGUCCAGAAGUCAGAUUUCAACAGCAACUGGAACAGCUCAGUGCAAUGGGAUUCUUGAACCGUGAAGCAAACUUACAAGCACUGAUAGCAACAGGGGGCGACAUCAAUGCGGCCAUUGAAAGGUUGCUGGGUUCCCAGCCGUCAUAGCAGCAUUUCUGUAUCCUGAAAAAAUGUAAUUUAUUUUUGAUAACGGCUCUUAAAUCUUUAAAAUAACCUGCUUUAUUUCAUUGGGAUUCUGUGCUGUUGUAAAGGAAACCAAUAGGAAGUCUCUGGAGGUGGAGUGCAGUAAGAUGUGCGGGUUUCUGUGUCUUUGGAACAGUGGGAAUCGAUGUCUCUGGUUAAGGCCGCUGCAUGCGUCAAACACUUGGCAUUUGUUGUAAUCUUUUAAACAUCACCUUUUCUAAUUGGGUGAACACAUUUUUGUCCUGCAUCUGUCCAACUAACUUGCUUUUUAAACAUAGCCCUCUGGUAGUAAUUUAUGUAGAAUAAAGGCAUUAAAAAGCAGAUCAUUUGCGCUCCAUGGUUUCUGGUACAACAUUGCUGAUGUGACUUUGGCAUGCGCUUUGCAAACGCUGCCGUAAGGUUUCUACUGCUGACAGUUUUCUCUAUUUGUAUACAGAACCAAUUACUGCACAUUUCUAGGCAUCUAAGCAAAAUUUCUGUAACCGAAAAAGUACGAUAAGGAUUCCUAAGUGUGUAGAAUCUUGCAGCACCUUUGAUAAACAUCUCUCAGCAGAAGUGCCAUUUAGUCAGUGUGGAAAAUAAAGAAAAACUAAUUCUGGUUAUCUCUUUAGGGACAUUUAAUUGUACAGGCAACAUAAUGUAAGGACAUCUCAACAUUCUAUAAUGGCUGUAAAUUACCUUUAUUUGUGCCGACUGAAGGAGCACGUGCCACACUCUGUCUGUACCACACUCUCUGCUGGGUUUGCUGGGGCUUCCUGCUCCCCGCAGGGUCUAAGCAGCACUGGGGUAUUGAGACGUCGCUUUCACUGGAGGUGCUUAUGCUUCCGGUUGGUUGGCGUAUAACGGUAGAGCUCUCUUGGGUUUACCAGCUUUCUCAUCCAUAGGCAAUACCUGGAUCUUAAAUGAUUAGUGAGCCACUCGUCUCUCAGUGUUUGGCUAGUUCUAUAAAGAAGUAGUUUAAUGUCUUGCUGUUCGGAGCCUCGGAAGGGGGUGGGGGAGGGUUGAGACAGAAUCUGUGCUGGAUUGGGCCAGCCUGAACUAGGUAAUACCGGCAACUCUGAUUCUGUGAAGAUUCUAUGCAUACGGUAGUGUCGGUCGGGUGGAAAAGAGCCGUUUUAACAAUUUUCAGUAAGUUUGGCUGUUCUAUAGCCCCUUUCUUCCUUCCCCAGAGACGUUCUGCUUGCCUGACUCUCACACUCUUGGGGUGAUACAUUCCUUUGGGACCAGUUAAAAUACAACGUUAGGGUCAGUGAUGUAUGUGACUGACUCUGGUUCAGUAUUCUCUUAGGUCACUGUGUUCUCUCUUGUAUGGUUGCCCGAAAUUAUAAUGUUAAAUAAUCUAGAAUGAGUUCAGACAAGUAAAAUCAAGGGAAAUAGAAGGUGAAUUCUGUAACUUCUGUAAGUCGCUUGAUACUAAAAGGUUGAGAGGCAGGUUGGCCCCAGGCUGUACACUUUUCUGACACUUUCUCCAGGAAGAAAACAUGGAUAAAGGUCGGGGUGGAGGCGUGACUGAGGAGGUCGGCACAGUGUGCACAUGUCUGCUCUCUGCCUCACGCCUCAGUCUGUCUGGUUGAAAGACUUUGUACGGGUGAAUGGUAAUAUACUGGUGGGGCAGUGUCAAAAGCAGUUUGAUUUAUUAAUCACCAAAUAACAAUAAACCUCCAGCUUUUACACUUGG
This 2190-nucleotide long non-coding RNA is filed under the name Rattus norvegicus (Norway rat). RNAcentral describes it as "long non-coding RNA NONRATT012234". The record is from RNAcentral. Lineage: Eukaryota; Metazoa; Chordata; Mammalia; Rodentia; Muridae.